RNAcentral lists this ribosomal RNA (374 nucleotides) under Clostridioides difficile. RNAcentral describes it as "bacterial SSU rRNA". It matches the Rfam family "Bacterial small subunit ribosomal RNA", at positions 1 to 383 of the family's 1533-position model. Lineage: Bacteria; Bacillati; Bacillota; Clostridia; Peptostreptococcales; Peptostreptococcaceae. The record is from RNAcentral.
UUUAUUUGAGAGUUUGAUCCUGGCUCAGGAUGAACGCUGGCGGCGUGCCUAACACAUGCAAGUUGAGCGAUUUACUUCGGUAAAGAGCGGCGGACGGGUGAGUAACGCGUGGGUAACCUACCCUGUACACACGGAUAACAUACCGAAAGGUAUGCUAAUACGGGAUAAUAUAUUUGAGAGGCAUCUCUUGAAUAUCAAAGGUGAGCCAGUACAGGAUGGACCCGCGUCUGAUUAGCUAGUUGGUAAGGUAAAGGCUUACCAAGGCGACGAUCAGUAGCCGACCUGAGAGGGUGAUCGGCCACAUUGGAACUGAGACACGGUCCAAACUCCUACGGGAGGCAGCAGUGGGGAAUAUUGCACAAUGGGCGAAAGCC